AUCAUUUCCACUUGAAGUCAGCUUCUUUGCCCCAGCUGUCCUCAGAUGUCCUACUGUUAAAACUUUGGUUAAAGUCUUUCCUGAAGAUCUGGAUAAGGGUGUGGCCAGCUCUUCAUUAGGGUUGCCUAACCUAGACUUGAGAGGCAGAUGGCCAGCUCAAGACCUGGGUUACGUAGUGAGACCCUUUCGAAAUCAGCCUCUCCGGGUGUCGUCUCUGAAGCUCGAGCAGCGGCUGUAGCUUUCACUACACGGUCCACCAUGUCUGUGAAUGCUUCAUGUUACGGUUUGGUUCCCAGAAGAUGGUUCCUACCAGGCCCAGCAGCAGCAGCAAACACAGGGUAAACAUGUGACCAGAAAGAGGUGCAUUGAUGUUGGGAGAGUUCGGCAAGCAAAGAGAUGAAGUUGUAUUUCAACGUGCUUCACACGAUCCACACAUGAAAACUCAGAGAGAGACUCAACAUUCAGAGAGCUGGGGAGAGGGCUCAGCACGUCAGCAUGAGAACUGGUCUUCCAGAAAAACACCCCUGUCAGGUGGUUCGCAACCGCCUGUAGCUCUAACCCCGGAGGAGUCCAACACUUCUGGCCU
This is a non-coding RNA of Rattus norvegicus (Norway rat), 586 nucleotides long. The record is from RefSeq and is a predicted model, not a curated record. NCBI's taxonomy places the organism in Eukaryota, Metazoa, Chordata, Mammalia, Rodentia, Muridae.